RNAcentral lists this unclassified non-coding RNA (400 nucleotides) under uncultured fungus. RNAcentral's name for it is "sequence contains ITS1". The stretch from base 1 to 107 matches the Rfam family "5.8S ribosomal RNA", at positions 49 to 154 of the family's 154-position model. The record is from RNAcentral. Lineage: Eukaryota; Fungi.
UGAAAUGCGAUAAGUAAUGUGAAUUGCACAAAUCUGUGAAUCAUCAAAUCUUUGAACGCACCUUGCGCUCGCUGGGUCUUCCAGCGAGCAUACCUGCUUGAGAAUCAUACGGGCAAUUGUGGACGAUAUGUGUUGUGGUGUGAUUCGUUUCACUGCGAUCGUCUCGGGCACAGACGUGGGGAUCAGGCUUCCGAGCGUGUUCCCUGAAAGACAGUUGCGGCAGCGUCGUGUGCGGCCCGCAGUUUAAAGGCGUGCUAAAGUAACGCCGAGAAUAACUGCGAAGCGGCGCGGCGCGGCCCAAGUGGGAGCAACCGCUGGGUAGUCUGAAAAAUUUUUUGUCGGCUCACACCGACGAAUCACUAUCGGGUUCAGCGACAAACUGAUCUCAAGUCAGGCAGGA